UCCGCUGAGCUAUGAGGAGAUCACCUCCCACAUCCUCGUCGGCCUUGACAUCGACUACAAUCCCGUGGUGUCAUCUCUUUCUGCACGGAUCGAGCCGAUCACGGUUCAGGAGCUGUAUAUCUAGCUUAUAAGCUUCGAUG
This is a non-coding RNA of Hordeum vulgare subsp. vulgare (domesticated barley), 140 nucleotides long. NCBI's taxonomy places the organism in Eukaryota, Viridiplantae, Streptophyta, Magnoliopsida, Poales, Poaceae. The record is from Rfam.